UACGGAGGGUGCAAGCGUUAUCCGGAUUCACUGGGUUUAAAGGGUGCGUAGGUGGCUUUGUAAGUCAGUGGUGAAAUGCCGCAGCUCAACUGCGGAACUGCCAUUGAUACUGCUUAGCUUGAAUCACGUCGAGGUGGAUGGAAUAUUACAUGUAGCGGUGAAAUGCUUAGAUAUGUAAUAGAACACCGAUUGCGAAGGCAGUUCACUAGGCGUGUAUUGACACUGAGGCACGAAAAGCGUGGGGAUCAAACAGG
This 254-nucleotide ribosomal RNA is filed under the name uncultured bacterium. RNAcentral describes it as "partial 16S ribosomal RNA". It matches the Rfam family "Bacterial small subunit ribosomal RNA", at positions 524 to 776 of the family's 1533-position model. The record is from RNAcentral.